RNAcentral lists this ribosomal RNA (404 nucleotides) under Actinomycetes bacterium. RNAcentral describes it as "Actinobacteria bacterium partial 16S ribosomal RNA". It matches the Rfam family "Bacterial small subunit ribosomal RNA", at positions 355 to 776 of the family's 1533-position model. Lineage: Bacteria; Bacillati; Actinomycetota; Actinomycetes. The record is from RNAcentral.
UGGGGAAUAUUGGACAAUGGGCGCAAGCCUGCUCCAGCCAUGCCGCGUGAGUGAUGAAGGCCCUAGGGUUGUAAAGCUCUUUCACCGGUGAAGAUAAUGACGGUAACCGGAGAAGAAGCCCCGGCUAACUUCGUGCCAGCAGCCGCGGUAAUACGAAGGGGGCUAGCGUUGUUCGGAUUUACUGGGCGUAAAGCGCACGUAGGCGGACUAUUAAGUCAGGGGUGGAAUCCCGGGGCUCAACCCCGGAACUGCCUUUGAUACUGGUAGGCUUGAGUUCGAGAGAGGUGAGUGGAAUUCCGAGUGUAGAGGUGAAAUUCGUAGAUAUUCGGAGGAACAACAGUGGCGAAGGCGGCUCACUGGCGCGAUACUGACGCUGAGGUGCGAAAGCGUGGGGAGCAAAAAGG